RNAcentral lists this ribosomal RNA (253 nucleotides) under uncultured bacterium. Its description in RNAcentral is "partial 16S ribosomal RNA". It matches the Rfam family "Bacterial small subunit ribosomal RNA", at positions 524 to 776 of the family's 1533-position model. The record is from RNAcentral.
UACGUAGGGUCCGAGCGUUGUCCGGAAUUACUGGGCGUAAAGAGCUCGUAGGUGGUUUGUCGCGUUGUUCGUGAAAACUCACAGCUCAACUGUGGGCGUGCGGGCGAUACGGGCAGACUAGAGUACUGCAGGGGAGACUGGAAUUCCUGGUGUAGCGGUGGAAUGCGCAGAUAUCAGGAGGAACACCGGUGGCGAAGGCGGGUCUCUGGGCCAAUACUGACGCUGAGGAGCGAAAGCGUGGGGAGCGAACAGG